CCGCCCAGUGCACGGGUCACGCUGGGGGGCGCCUGCGGGGCGCAAGCACGGACUUCCUGCCUCGAGGAUCUGGCAUUGUCACCCGACGUCCCCUGGUCUU
RNAcentral lists this small RNA (100 nucleotides) under Pongo abelii (Sumatran orangutan). Its description in RNAcentral is "processed transcript". The record is from RNAcentral. Lineage: Eukaryota; Metazoa; Chordata; Mammalia; Primates; Hominidae.